RNAcentral lists this unclassified non-coding RNA (331 nucleotides) under soil metagenome. Its description in RNAcentral is "partial contains 5.8S ribosomal RNA, internal transcribed spacer 2, and large subunit ribosomal RNA". The stretch from base 1 to 120 matches the Rfam family "5.8S ribosomal RNA", at positions 35 to 154 of the family's 154-position model. The record is from RNAcentral.
GAUGAAGAACGCAGCGAAACGCGAUAAGUAAUGUGAAUUGCAGAAUUCAGUGAAUCAUCGAAUCUUUGAACGCACAUUGCGCCCCCUGGUAUUCCGGGGGGCAUGCCUGUUCGAGCGUCAUUUCACCACUCAAGCCUCGCUUGGUAUUGGGCAUCGCGGUCCGCCGCGUGCCUCAAAUCGACCGGCUGGGUCUUCUGUCCCCUAAGCGUUGUGGAAACUAUUCGCUAAAGGGUGUUCGGGAGGCUACGCCGUAAAACAACCCCAUUUCUAAGGUUGACCUCGGAUCAGGUAGGGAUACCCGCUGAACUUAAGCAUAUCAAUAAGCGGAGGA